ACGCUCGACACCUACGGGAGCAGCAGUGGGGAAUAUUGCACAAUGGGGGAAACCCUGAUGCAGCGACGCCGCGUGGAGGAAGAAGGUCUUCGGAUUGUAAACUCCUGUUGUUGGGGAAAAAGAGGAUGGUACCCAACAAGGAAGUGACGGCUAACUACGNGCCAGCAGCCGCGGUAAUCUGAGGCGGGCUGGCAAGGC
Molecule: ribosomal RNA, 198 nt
Filed under: uncultured bacterium
Lineage: Bacteria
Description: partial 16S ribosomal RNA
Rfam family: Bacterial small subunit ribosomal RNA
Source: RNAcentral